AUACGUAGGUGGCAAGCGUUGUCCGGAUUUACUGGGUGUAAAGGGGGCGCAGGCGGGAAGCUAAGUUGGAUGUGAAAUACCGGGGCUCAACUCCGGAGCUGCAUCCAAAACUGGUUUUCUUGAGUGGAGUAGAGGCAAGCGGAAUUCCGAGUGUAGCGGUGAAAUGCGUAGAUAUUCGGGGGAACACCAGUGGCGAAGGCGGCUUCCUGGGCUCUAAAUGAAGCUGAGGCCCGAAAGCGUGGGGAGAAAACAGGAUUAGAUACCCUGGUAGUCCACGUCGUAAACGAUGAUUACUAGGUGUGGGGGGUCUGACCCCUUCCGUGCCGCAGUUAACGCAAUAAGUAAUCCACCUGGGGAGUACGGCCGCAAGGCUGAAACUCAAAUGAAUUGACGGGU
Molecule: ribosomal RNA, 396 nt
Filed under: uncultured bacterium
Lineage: Bacteria
Description: partial 16S ribosomal RNA
Rfam family: Bacterial small subunit ribosomal RNA
Source: RNAcentral